Molecule: ribosomal RNA, 497 nt
Filed under: uncultured bacterium
Lineage: Bacteria
Description: partial 16S ribosomal RNA
Rfam family: Bacterial small subunit ribosomal RNA
Source: RNAcentral
GAUGAACGCUGGCGGCGUGCCUAAUACAUGCAAGUCGAGCGAACAGACGAGGAGCUUGCUCCUCUGACGUUAGCGGCGGACGGGUGAGUAACACGUGGAUAACCUACCUAUAAGACUGGGAUAAUUUCGGGAAACCGGAGCUAAUACCGGAUAAUAUAUUGAACCGCACGGUACAAUAGUGAAAUACGGUAUUGCUGUCUCUUAUUGAUGGACCCGCGCCGCAUUAGCUAGUUGGUAAGGUAACGGCUUACCAAGGCAACGAUGCGUAGCCGACCUGAGAGGGUGAUCGGCCACACUGGAACGGAGGCACGGUCCAGACUCCUACGGGAGGCAGCAGUAGGGAAUCUUCCGCAAUGGGCGAAAGCUUGACGGAGCAACGCCGCGUGAGUGAUGAAGGUCUUCGGAUCGUAGAACUCUGUUAUUAGUGAAGAACAAAUGUGUAAGGAACUAUGCACGUCAUGACGGUACUUAAUCAGAAAGCCACGGCUAUCUUGGUG